UGCCUUACCCAGGAUCAUUUAUUUCUUGC
RNAcentral lists this non-coding RNA (29 nucleotides) under Mus musculus (house mouse). The record is from RNAcentral. Lineage: Eukaryota; Metazoa; Chordata; Mammalia; Rodentia; Muridae.